Molecule: long non-coding RNA, 33899 nt
Filed under: Sorghum bicolor (sorghum)
Lineage: Eukaryota; Viridiplantae; Streptophyta; Magnoliopsida; Poales; Poaceae
Description: long non-coding RNA (SBIC_LNC005872)
Source: RNAcentral
AACACGUUCGACAACAAGUACUACGUGGACCUGCUGAACCGGCAGGGCCUCUUCACGUCGGACCAGGACCUGCUCACCAACGCUACGACCAGGCCUAUCGUCACCAAGUUCGCUGUUGACCAGAACGCCUUCUUCGAGCAGUUCGUCUACUCGUACGUCAAGAUGGGGCAGAUCAAUGUGCUCACGGGGUCCCAGGGACAGGUUCGCGCCAACUGCUCCGCGCGCAACGCUGGUGCUGCAGGUAACGGUGGCGAGGACCAGCUGCCGUGGUCCGACGUCGUCGAGACCGUCGUCGACGCCACCGGCAGCCUCGUGCUCUAGAUCGUAUCGUGAAACAACAACCGCACCACCGGCCGGGAGUGCGCGUAUGUACGUGUGUAGCAGUUUGUUGGCAGCAAGUUGUUAGCAAUUUGAAGCUUGCUUGUUUUUUCUUAUAUAAGUCUCGAUCUCUCCAUCGAGUCCAUAUAUAUGUGGGGGCAUAUGCAUGCAUGUUGUAACAAAAUAAGCAGGCAGCUAAGCUAGCUAGUGAUCCAUUGGAAAUAAAAAGCUCGUGUGUUCUUGCCUUCUUGGGGAUCAGAUGAUGUCAUGACGACGAUCAUUACAAACGACGACGUCGAUGGCAUUGGCAUGCCCUGCAGGGCAGUUCAGGCCGGGCACCAGCAGAUCGACGAACUAAUUAAGGGGGUGUUUAGUUCUCCUUUUUUUUUCCCAAAAGAAUUUUAGGUUUUGGUCUAUCAUUUUGCAAAAUAAAACUAAUCAUCAUGUAAAAUUUUUGGCAAAAAGGUGGUUAUAUAUUCUCUAUUUUGGAUUUUGACCUCAAAAGUCCAAAACAAAAAUAAAAAAGAACCUCAAGAGGCUCUCAUGAGGAGAAUAAAUUCUACAUUUUGGAUGGAGCCCUGAAAAUUUUAACAUUUUGCAUUUCAUCACUCCAAAGUAUGGUUGGCAUUUUGCAUUAUGGAUUCUAUAUAUGGGUAACUAAACGCCCCCUAAACUGUGCGUGCCGGGCAAAUUCUCAGCCGAAGUCGAAUGAAUGUGAGCCGCGGCAGCAUCGGAGCGGCGACGUACGCCCCUCGCGUCGCUGUCGGACUGGAACAAGAUCGUCAUGAUGUGGUGAAUGCCAUGCCGAGGGACGAGAGCUAGAGCUAGCACCACGUCCAGGAGUACAAAAACCGAUCCAUCUCGAGACUCUUCAGACUUGUGAAGUUGCAGAGUAGCACGUACUAGCAGAGAUCACGAUGCACAUAUAAUAAGGCCUUGUUUACUUUCACCCAAAAUCCAAAAACUUUUUAAGAUUUUCCGUCACAUCGAAUCUUUAAACAUAUGCAUGGAAUAUUAGAUAUAAACGAAAAUAAAAACUAAUUGCACAGUUUAGUUAAAAUUUACGAGACGAAUCUUUUGAGCCUAGUUAGUUUAUGAUUGGACAAUAAUUACCACAAACAAACGAAAGUGUUACAGUAUCGCGAAAAAAUUUCGGGUAGGAACUAAACAAGGCCCCUAAGUAUAUUGCACCCGGCGACGACGGCGAGCGAUCGUCUACCGAGACACUCAAAUGCCGACGCCAGGUCACUUGCACAGCAAAACAGCAUGUCUUGUUUAUAGCAGCAGCAGCAUCCGUUCCGUGCAGGUGCAGCCAUCUCGGCAUGGCAACACCAACACAUGAUUAUUCUUUUCCUUUUUCUUCUAAAAAAAGGAAUCACACUAAUUCCUAGUUGUGUACACUCCUAGUGCUGUGACCUUAGGGCACUAUAUAUGCAUGGCUUGGUCUUUCUGAGUAACAACGUCAACAAUGUGCACACGCAGACUAAUAAUACAGCAUUACUAUUUAUAUCUAGCACAUGCCAUGGAAACACGUCAUAGAACGUCAUAUAUAUAGGGUUGCCUUACAAAAGCAUACUAACAUACUUAGUAGAAACGAUAGCUCCUGGGUGCAUGCAUACAUACAUAUGCAUGCCCCUUACCAGGACAACCAGGCUCACACACAACUAUGGUUCCCAGGCAUAACCUGUUUGUUACAGAUUGGCUAAUGAUUUUUUUUUUCGAAAAAUGCUGGCAGAAAUGCCAGGCAAAUAUAUUAAUAUAGAGGAGGAAACAGACACAGGACAAGCGAAAAAAAAAUCCAGAAACCAACAAACCAAAAGGCCCAAAUAUAUGAGGGGUUUAGGCCCUCAAGGCAAAAUUGGCUAAUGAUUAAUUACACAUAACCUAUUCAGGGUUGCUGAUAAGGAUUAGUGCACAUAAUAACUUACUCAGGCCAGGUACUAGCUCUCAUCUCCUGUACCCUUAGGGUGGCCAUCUUUGCUCUCAUAUCCCGUACCCUCAGCCUGAGGGCAGGCUUUUUCUUUCAAGAACCACAAGGCUGGCUUAUCAUCAGGGCAGCCAUUUUCAUUGAAGAACGACCUCGAGUAAGGCAGCUGGUAGCUGACAUGUUCUUUGAAGAACCUCGGGCAAGACAUAUCAUCAUCGUCGUCAUCAGGGAAGCCAUCUUCGUCUUCUUGGGACAUGAGUGACUCGAAGAAAGGUGUACCAUCGAGGUAGUCAAUGACAUUAUAAAAGCAGAGCUCACGUCGCUCGUUGAAGCCAAAUUUGUAGGGCAGGUUAGCCUUGUUAACACGGUCCACACUGAGUGCAGUCUCCUUGAAUUCGGGGAAGCGGCGAACCAUCUCGUCAUGGUCCACAAGAUGUGAUCCAUGUUAGAUUGAACGCAUUCGGCUUUUAUUUUUGUCGUGCUGGCCGGUUUGCUAAGAAGAAUUAGGAAAAGAAAAAAAAAAUAAGCCCAUUUUUGGUAUAUAUUUGCUAACAGGUCUUGUGAUGGAAAAGGAUGUAAUAUUUUAUUAUUUUAAAGUAGUUGACAUUAUACAUUUUGCAUUUUAUAACAUGUUGCCUGCUUGACGCCGUGAGCCCCGUGCCGGGCUUCCUACGCCAUGUUGGUGUUGAGAAGGCGUCGGGGUGCUGGUCGGGCCGCGGAAGCGAGUAGCAGAAUCUCGUCGGUCCAUAUGAAGCGGCGGAAUCGUCGACGACAGAUCCAAACCCGUAGUAAGUAGCAGCAUCUCGUCGGUCCAUAUGAUAUUUUUCUUGCAUUGAAUAUUAUAAGAAUCAUUAAAUCCAAUAGGUUCAUCUAAAUCGAUCCAAUAGCUUGUUUAUUUAAGCAAGCAUAUAGCCUUAGGGCUUCUUUGUAUACAUGCAUUAGCUGAGUGGAACCAGCUAACACCUAAUUUUUAGUUUGUUGACUGGUAAAAGACUAUUAGCUGGGAUCCAUUCCAAACUGGCUAAUUUUUAGUAGCUGAAUUUUAGCUGUGUGGGAUCCAAAUAGAGCCUUACUCUUGAACAAAAUUAGCGUGAUUUGGGGAGUUUGUACUCUUUUCAAUAAGAAAACGAAAAAUCUAGUUGGUUAACAUUUUUUAGUGUUAUGUACAAAUAGUUUGGGGGUCUCUAAACUUUCUGAUUCUUGCGCUGAAGAUUUCGCACAGAAGAUUAAAUUUAAUAUGAACAAAGUUAGAUUUCUGUGCGCAUUCUCUUGUGACCAUGAACGGUGUGUCGCAGAUGGAUCUAUUGCUUCAUGUGCAAAAAGAAAGGGUUCAACUCUGUCAACAUGAUGAACAUUCUCUAGAUGGCCAACUAAGGGAUACUCGGCAUCAAAUCUCCCUGAGGUACAGCAUUGAUGUUGGAAGAUUUACAUUGCUCAGUAUGACUACUCAGGGUUUUAAAUAGUUGGCUAAGACAUUUAGCGGUGGUCUCAUCUAGGAGCUCUAAAAAGCUAUUAUCAGGAUAUCGUAGAGCUAUGUCAUUAUGCGGUUUUGUCAAACAUGAAAAUUUUCAAUGAAUUAUGCAUACAAUUACAUCAUAAUCAUUCCAUCAACCAACAUAGUCACAGUUAUAAUCAAUAUUAUAUUCAUUCAACAACAAACAACUAAGCAUUUUACUCAAUAUUUGCAUACUCUUAAGCUUAGAACAAACGAUCUAAUUAAAUGUUUACGUUCUGUUGGCAAUAAUACUUGUGAACCAAUUGUCUUUGUAGGCCUCCGUUCUGUUCUAUUUGAGCUUAACCUCCUCAUCUUAGUAAAUAUAAGGUUAUUUUUUGUAUUACAUAUCUAGCCCUGUAGCUUCCAAAGCUGUUGGAUUAUGUUUCAUGUGUUUUCUGACAGUUAAUAUAUUCAGAUGCUUUAUUUAUUACCUAUCCAGGAAUUAUAUUUUUAUGUAUUUACUUUUCUACAUUGAUUCAUUUAAAGCAUACUAGUGUUCAAUAAAACAGCAUUCCCUGCAUUUUGGUUGACACAAAAUAUGCAGAAUCUGCCUGAGACAUGCAAAUAACAGAGUUCAUAUUUAUCUGCACUGAACGAUACGUUGGCAUCUUGUAAAUCCACCUAUAAACUCUUUUCAGGUGGAAACUCUGUAUAUAGUGCUCAAUAAACUUUUCACAAUUACAUUCCAACUCUCACAUCUCUGUAAUUCAGUUUACUUUGUGCAAUCAGGUGACUCUGUACAGUUCUAUUGUUUUUCUUAUAGAAAUAAUGUUACUGUUUGCCUUUACAAUUCCACUGUUGAUUUUUCUCCCACACAUGUGCAUGCAGGAUAUCUGGUGUCAUAUACAUUCCUUAAUGCCAAUUCAAGAUGCUGCCCGAGCUGCCUGUGUGUCUCAGACCUUUUUGCGUUCCUGGAGAUGCCGCCCUAACCUCGAUUUUAGUAGGGAAACAUUGGGCUUAAUAAAUGAAAAUACAUGUAGAAAUGAGGAAACACAAAGGGACAUCACCAGCAUAGUUGAUCACAUUCUGCAAAACCACUCAGGCAUUGGAGUGAAGGCAGUCAAGUUUCAGGAUGGUUCAGAUUACAAUAAUCAAGACUUCUGUCAUCUUGAUCUCGACUACACUGUACAACUUUCCAUGCUCACUUUUAUCUGUUGAAAUUUUGGAAUCACUCCGUAAUCUUCACCUUGUCGGCUGUUGCUUUCAUCCCACAAUUGGACUUGGUUCCUUGAGAAACUUGAGAAGAAUACAGCUGUGUAACGUAUCUAUUACUGAGAGCAAGCUAGAGUGUCUUCUUUCCAAUUCUCUCUCUUUGGAGCAGUUGGUACUCAGGAGAUGCAGUGGGAUUAUUUGCCUGAAAAUACCGUGCCUGCAGCGGCUUAGCUACCUUGAGGUGAACACUUGCCUUGGGCUGGAAGUGUUAGAGAGCAAAGCUCCAAAUCUAUCUAGUGUUCGCAUUGCAGGAGACCUCCAUGUACAACUCCCGCUUUUGGAAACGUCGCGUAUUAUAAAAUAUUUUAGAUCAUGUCAUGGUGCUGCCUUUUAUGCUCGUACUGAGCUUCCAUCCAGCAUGCCAAAUCUCGAGACUCUUAGCAUAGUUUCAGAAACUGAGGUAUGAACUUUCUGUGAGCAAUAUGCUUAGAAUGAUUUUACAACAGGCAUACAGUGGAAUACAAUUAAAGCAGACUUCUUUUUAACCCCCCUUUUUGCAGACGGUUAAUACGCCGGUAAUGCCUAGCAAAUUCCUCCACCUCAAGUCCUUGACUAUUGCUCUUCGUGGACAGACCUAUGAUUGUUUUUCUCUGUUAUCCUUUUUUGAUGCUUCUCCUUUCCUGGAGAAUUUCAUCUUGAAUGUAAGUCAUUGUCCGUCCAGCAAAACAUUGGUAACUGACAGAAUCGUUAAUUCAAGUUUUUGAAGAUCCCUCGGACCUGAGGAAGAUGCCAGAGAACCAUAAUGACAAGCUCAAGUGUGUUCGAAUCACCAAUUUCUCAUCUGCAAAGAACUUGAUUGAGUUGACCUGUCAUAUUCUCGAGUCUGCAAUGUCAGCCUCACAUUGGACACCACUCAUGGUGCGCCUAGAUGCUCUGUCAGUAAACAUGGCAGGUGCUGGCCAAUGAGGAGGGAUGCACUUAUGGAAGCGCAUAGAGCACUAUCGGCUGUCCAAACAUACGUCAAGUCAAAAGUUCCUUCAACAGUGGAGUUAAAUGUUUUUGAGCCCUGUAGCCAGUGCCAUGCUGUUGCACUUUAGGUGGUCAAUUUAACCACAAUUAUUCAUUGGAACGGUCAGUGUGGUGUCUUAGGCCAGUUUCAAUGGGAGGGAGGUUUUAUGUCCUGUUUUCUAAGGCAUGACAUCAUAAAAUGAAACAUGAUGAAACAGAGUCCCUCAAUGCACAGUUUCAUUUCCCUGUUUCAUAGGCUAGCUUUUAUCAUUGAAUUUUUGUAUUGUGUUGUGAUAAAAUGUGUCAUGUAAACUAAGUAGCCAUUUGAGAACAUGAUAAAAUUGGCAAAUAAACAUGGUUUAUCAUACAAAAUGACAUCUCGUGGAAAAGGGAAGGCUUUCACACUUAAAAAAUGACAACGUUCUUCACUCAAGCACUAGAUAGCAGUUUCAUAUUACAAACUGAUCGGCAUUCUUGGAGAAAAGACAAAGUAAUUCAGGUUGAGCUCUCAAUAGAAUAUUCAGAAGUGAAUACUGUAAAAGCUCUAAACAAGAGUACUGCACUAGGAAUCUAGGAUAACGAAAAUUCCAAUACUAAACAAGAUUUCAGAAGCACCAACGGUAAUGCUACACUAGGAUAUGGAACCGAAACAGACGAGCUAAUCAGCGGCGCAGCGCAGGCCAUGAACUCGGCAGCAGCGAAGGAGAUGAACGUAACUCAGCAGUGACACAAGCGAUGACGCUGCUUUGCGGUUGCAAAGAGUACUAGUACUAGUUCCAGCAGCUAGCGAUCGAUCUCUCUAGCUCUGCAUCGAUCUGCAUAUGCACAAGGAAGAAGGAGAAGAUCCGUGCAAGGAAGCUGAGAAGCAGGAAGCAGCCGAGCCCGGCCAUGAUGCCCGCAAGUAGCGGCAGUCCAGGACCGACGUGGCCCCAGUCCAUGCCGACGAGCACCACCAUCUGGAAGACGGCCAUCCCGACGAACGCGAGACCGGCACACAGUUUCAGUAUCUCCUUACUCCAGUCUAUCUCCAUCGUCGCCGGCCAGCCAACGAUGCCGGCCAGACCGGCCUGCUACAUAUAUAUAUGUAAUGUAAUGUAAUAUGUAAUUGUACAAGUACGUGGUGAUUCAUUCAUUAAAUCCUGCUCUGCUGCAGAGAUCGAUCGCAACACGUAAGCUCUUGCAUAUUGGAAAGCCAAUCUAGCUAACUGUUAAUUUCCAUACACAUCGUUCGUCGGCCUUGCAAAAUUAAAUGAUUUCCUUUCGUGGACUACUAAAUAAAUACUCUCCCCGUCUUGACAUAGAGUACAUUGUGACUUCUAAAGUUUAUAUUGAAAUACAAUACAUUCUAUAUAAUGACUAUGUUUUGAUUUAGAAAAGGAUUAUUAAAAAGAAAACCACGAUUAAGUAGAAACUUUAUAAUUAGAAUAUCUAUAGGUACAUGUGAGUGUUCCACACUAUAUUACAAAUAGAGGGAAUAUAUAAUAAAAACAAAACAAACUCAAGUAAGAGAGCAAGUUUAUGCUAAGUUCCAUGUACAUACCGCGUGGAGGCUCAGCUUAGAAAAGAUGAAAUGAGCAACGGGCCUAAUAGGCCCUGGAAAGCCUCCCGGUGCAUUACGCAAUGAUGAGCUUCCCUACGGAAAAUGUGGACGGCCCAAGAUGAGGCCUAUGACUAAUCUCACAAGUUUUCUUUUUGGAAGAAAUUGUCUUGUCCAAAAACACUUUUUAUAUCUUCUUCUUUGCAGUGUGUAUGUUGUGUUUUUUUUUUACCAUACCUUUGGUUAAGGAUCGGACAAGUGAUACUCCAGUCUCGUUUUUUUUCUUUUUCUGUAUUAGUUAGAUUAGAUUAAUUAUCCCAUUUCAUUUAUGUUUGGUUGACAGGAUAAAAUAAUUCAUACAUGUUUUGUGUUUGGUUUAAGGGAUUUAGAUAUAUGGGGUGGAUGUCGUUUUUCCUUCCAUUAGCAGCCAGUGCAUCCACUUAUCAUAUAUUGACUGACUUAUCUAUCACACAAUGCUUCUAUUUUUUCAUCGACUUUAUCUUCUUCCACAAAGCAUCACUCACUUGCGUCACCUGCCAGUGAAUUGAAGCUUCUUUUUUCCACAUUGCCGCCCAGUCGCCCACCCAUGGAACUUCUCAACCACGCCACCUGCAGAGCUGCCCGACCACGACGCCUGCAGGAGACGACACCAUAAUCAGUGCAAGAGUGAAGUCUUGUUGGGGGAAGAUCAAGUCCUUCCCUCAUCAUCAUCAUCAUCUCCGAAGCAUGUUCAUUUAGAUUGGAGAUGAUGAGAGGGGCAAUAAAAACUCCCUCUAUAUUAGUUCGAAAGAAGCCGAAAUUUCAUUUCCAAAAAAACUUGUUUAUUCAUGCAAACAUGCAAAUGUGAUGUAUAAUAAAAGCAUAAAAGAAGAUAAUACUCGCUCCAUGUAGGAGAACCAGAUACAACAUAGGAGUAUAUACUACAGAGUUAGGCCAGAUCCUUUAAGUUUCUCUUUCACAAUGCAAUCUAACUUCCUCCCCAUCUCUUCGUUUAUGUGAUUCUGCCAAUCACCCACCUUUGCUUUCCUAAAGUAUGCUGAAUUCUCAAUAACCAUGUUGCCGUGUCGAAAAAACUCUCCUGUUUUGUUGACAUACAAGCUACUAAGCUUCUCAAAGCUGCACAACCUCACCAUCUCAUCUGGUACCCCAUCCUCUUCUUCCUUAGUACUAAAUGGGACACCAAUAAAUGCCGCGAUCUUUAUGACAUGUUUUACCGGAUCUGACAACAUUUCUUCGUACUUUAAGGCCUUGUUUAGAUCUAAUUUUUUUUUGAAUUUUGAUACUAUAGCACUUUCGUUUUUAUUUGACAAACAUUGUCCAAUCAUGGAGUAACUAGGCUUAAAAGAUUCGUAUUAUUUGACAAACAUUGUCCAAUCAUGGAGUAACUAGGCUUAAAAGAUUCGUAUCGUGAUUUACAGGUAAACUGUGCAAUUAGUUAUCUUUUUUAUCUAUAUUUAAUAUUUCAUACAAGUGCCGCAAAAUUCGAUGUGAUGGGGAAUCUUGUAAAAUUUUGGAUUUUUGGAUGCAUCUAAACAAGGCCUAAGAAGAGUACCCUAUCGGGCAUCGCAAUGCUCUCCCUCCAAUAUUCAAGACAAUGAUCCCAAAAAGACCCAUAACCAGAGAAACCUUUGGAGAACAUGUUGAAAGCUGUUUCCAAAUCAACACUAUGUCCCUAUGAACCUUAUUAUCAUAGCACCAUCGAGACACGAAUGCAUCCUUAGGGUCUCGACAGAUGUACACAACCCGACAACCACAAGUUGUAGACUUUGGAAACAACGAGAGAGGCAAAUGGGUGGCGAGAAGCCUUGGGGAUGGGAGAUUCUCUAGGUAUGUAAAGUAUGUAUUUCGAGGAAUCUCUAUGAAUGGCACCACCUCCUGGGGAUGGCAGAAGAGAAGAGGGUGGUUGUCAAAAUCAUACUGGAAGCGGUUGGUGACUGCGAAGGCGGGUGCCGCACUUGGGGUUGCUAGCAAGGAUGAUGUCAUCGUGGCGAGGUUUGAAGCUAUUUUGGAGGCACAGUACGCUCUCCACAAAGUAGGGACGGAGCCAGUAGUUCUUGUAGAGCACCAUCCGCUCCGACAACCCCUCUCUUGAUGGGAGUUUGGAUAUAAGAUCAGCAACAUGGCUUUCUAAUGAAAUGGCUUCAUCAGAUGAGCUGUUCUUGGAGCUUCCAUGCUCGGCUUGCUGUGACAUUGCUUAGCUACUUUUUGAAGUUUUUGCAGUCUCUCGCUGCUCGCUUGGAUAGGCGAAGGGAGGUGGUGUAGAUUGAGCUGAUAGACUCGUGCCUGGCUAACAGAGAGCAUAAAUAUAUAUUAUAGCACAACACAUGUAUAUUCUACCGGAGAUAAGAUAGCGGAGGUAGGUGUGGCAAGUCGAUCGUGAUACACCUGCAGUUAUUGGUCACUGACAGCCUCAUAACUGCAGAGACUCACCGACCGCUAGGUGGUGUUGAAUAUAUCUCAGUUGGGCAGAAGCAUGCAUGAUGCACACUGAAACGCUCAAUCACAUCUGCCUACACUGUCGCGCAUCUUCGUUCCCAAAACCCAGAGUCAGUACUACAAAAAAAGAUAACAGAGGCAUGCAAAAAUAGCUUAACCGAGGCAUUUUGGCCGACCACCUUUAUCAAAGGUCACGGUUAAUUUGACUUUUUCCGAGGCGAUUUGAUGCACGUCUCGGUUAAUAAAAUAAAAAAAACAAAAAAGUGGAUAAGCCCAACAAGGCCAUCGAUGGGCCCGCCGAGCCCAUCCGCACUGUUAUUCGCUAGAUCCGCCAUUGUUGGUGCCCUGUCGUAGAUCCACAGGCAGGGGAGGAAGGAGCACCGCCAGCCUACUCAUCGCCUAGUGGGGUGGAUCAGCCGCCGCACCCCAACACCGGCUCCUUGGCCCGUGCAGAAGCUCCGCCCGGUCCACCAUUGAGGAGGACAACGUGGCGGAGAAGGGGCGCCACCGGUCUGCCACACCCACGCCGCACCCCGAUGACGGCUGUCGCAGAGGAGGACGACAUGGGAGGAGGGGCGCCACUGGUCCGUCGUCGAGGGCGCGUCCUCCUGGCCAUCGAGGUCACGGCCUCCUGGCCGCCAGGGUCGCGACCUCCUGGCUGUGGGGGCGCGGCCUCCUGCUCGCCCAGUGCGCGGGCCCCUGCCCUGGAUACAUGCCGGUGAGUAGGAGAGAAAGAGCGAGAGAGAGAGAGAGGUCAAUGUGUGUGAGAGAGGAGUGAGAGAGAGAGGCACAAAGGAGAGGGGGCUCCCAGCGGUGCUGAGGAUUGGGGGUGGUGAGAGAGGAGAGGAGAUUGAGUGGAUGGCUAGGGUUUUCACGUUUAUAUACUGUGACCAAGAUUUGGGCCGAGAUGGACUUUUGAUGGGUCUCGAGAAUAUUAAUCGAGACGGGUCUUAUAACUAACCUGUCUCCGAAAAUAGAUGUAUUUUUGGAUCGAUUAAUAUAUUUUAGGAGGCGUAAAUCGAUUUUACGAGGUGGUUUUUGUAACCGACUUGGUUAAUAAAAACUUACCACCUCAGUUAAUCUGAGGCAUUAACCGAGACGGUUGAAAUUUUUGUCCGCCUUCGAGGGGGUUUCAAAAGGUCAUGGUUAAUGUUUUUUUUGUAGUAGUGAGUUUUCACCAUCUAAUCUCCCCGGAAAAAGGAAGCUCACCUUCUAUAUCCCUGAAGAAAACGUCUACAUAAUAAUGUUCUGUUUUCGUUAUUAAUAAUCAGCAUAGGAAGUAGCUUAGAGUCAAAUUUAAGUUGCUCCUGGACACAAGGGACAAUGACACAUACUACAUCGAGAGAUCGAAUACAAUCUUUAUGAUAUCGUCAUUGCAAUGCUGAUAGAUCUGCUAUAUAUAUCAUGACGAAGUGUCAGUGUAGUAAUUGCUACGCUUUCAUUUGAAGGAAAUGGUGCUUUACUCGCCUUGCUACGUAACUCAGUUGAUUGGAAAAACAAAACAAAACGAAGAAGGAAUCGUAUAUCCAUCCAUCCAUAACUCUGCUUUGCUUUGUUUUUGUUUUGCCUCAACCUAAACUGCUUGUAUUUCACUUUUGUUUUUAAUAUAUUUUUACAGUAGGCGACUCUGGUUCCUCCUGAUUACUCAAAAAAAAAAGAGAGAGAGAAAAAAGGGAACAGGUAAGAUAGAACCAGACUGCACGGAGCGCUGUAGUUGUGCUUGCACCUGUUAAGGUUCAUGAAGUAUAAUCAACUUUCUUUUUGCGUGGAUCUACUUGCACCCCCUACACUACGGGAUUUUGGUAUUUUAGCCAAGAACAAGAGCUAUCACCGUGGUAAUAACCCAGUUCCCUUUGGCAUGUUUGUAUGACUGGAAUUUCAGUAAAAAUAACACGUGUUAUUAAGGGUGUUGCAUUUUUUUUUGUUUGUUGACAUGGCACCACAAUAGAGCUGAAAAAUGAAAGAUAAUAUCUCCUUCUAUGCUCUUAGGAUGUGUUUGGUUUCGGAAUCAUGUGGAAUGGAUUGGACGACCUAGGUUGAGAUAGACCCAUCUCAUGUUUGGUUCGAGAGAUGGAGCCAUUCCAUUAUGUUUGGUGCGAGGGAUGAAGUGGGUUAGGAUGGAUAUCAUUGUCAACACCGUUACCUGCUAUGUAUGCGUGGGACUCAGCUGUCAUCCACUUUCUUCACUUCUUCCUCCUCUCGUCGUUCACCAGGUGCAGAGCACCACAGCCCCUGUGCUGGCCCGCUACGAGCGUGCUGCCCCGUUCGGUGCCCUGACCCACCCUAAUGCUGCCCUACCCCGGCGGCCCAGUGCCGCCCCGUGCUGUCCUCUCUACAACCAAACAAGAUUUCCAAUGCAGUUGUCCUCUCUACAACCAAACAAGAUUAAUUUCCAAUGAGGAUGUGUCUUGUGUCUCUGCCAAACAAGAUUUCCAAUGCAGUUGUCCUCUCUACAACCAAACAAGAUUAAUUUCCAAUGAGGAUGUGUCUUGUGUCUCUGCCAGCAGCUAUAUUUGUCUAUCUAUAUUUCUAGAAGAAAGCAGCAAAAAUUGGACUUCUCAAAUAAAGUUUGGCAAUGGGUGAUACUUUGUUGAUUCGAUGCUUACAUGAAGAACAGCAGUGAUCAAGACAAUACUUGUUCACAUUAUUAUAGCACAUGUCUCGAUCGAUCUGUCGACCCCAUCCAUCUCUGUCUUGUCUUCCACGAGGCAAUCUAACUAAUUUGUCCCCAUCACAUGUGCCAUUUUUUUGACAAGUCAUGUGUCAUACUCCCUCCUGAAGAACGGUGACUUGACAGCCACCGUAUCAUCCCUUCAGCAAUGUAUAUAUCCUGACGAUUUGUUGUGUGCAAGUAAGCUAUUCCCUUUGCUUCAAAUUAUAAGAUAUUUUAAUUUUCUAUAUUUGUUGUUUUUGCUAUGCAUUUAGAUAUACACUUUGUCUAACAAUAUGUUUAGAAAUGCUAAAAUGUCUCCGAUCGCGAAAAAAAAAAAUCUGGAACGGAUACCAACUAAGCUCCCAAGGAACCCCAUCUUAUUUUUCUUUGAGAGUGAUGAAACAUAUUUCACCACUGCUUUCUGAUCUCUCCGAUACUCGAGGCUCAUGUGAAGGCCAAAAGGGUAACAAGGAACAAUUUUUUCAGUGAGAAUUUCUUUGAACAAACUACUAGAAACAUGAGGUGUUUGUUGAUUAUGGGCUAGAUAACCCUUGUACCUUGGAAAUUGAAAUCCCGUUUCCAAAUCUUACAAUGGACGACUCUUGUUUAUUCAUGCAAAAACGAAAAUGUGAUAAAAAACAUACAACAAGAUAUAGAAAAAUAGAGAUACAUAUUAUAGCACAAGGCCUGAUCCUUUGAGCUUCUCUUCCACAAUGCAAUUUAGCUUUCUCCCCAUCUCCUCGCUCAUGUGAUUCACCCAGUCACCCACCUUUCCUUUCCUAAAAUAUGAUGACUUCUCAAUAAUUAUGUUACCAAGCCGAGCAAAUUCUCCUGUUUGGUUGGUAGACAAGCUACUAAGCUUCUCGAAGCUGCACAACCUCACCACCUCCUCGGGUAUCCCAUCCUCUAUUUCCUUAAUACUAAAUGGGGCACCCAAGAACGUUGCAAGCCUUAUGACAUAUUUUGUUGGCUCUAAGGUCAUAUCCUCAUACUUGAGGAAAAGAACCUUAUCAGGUUUUGCAAUACUCUCCCUCCAGUACUCGAGGCAAUGGUCCCAAAAAGGUCCAUUGCUCGAGAAGCCUUCAGUAAACAUGUUGAACGCUGUUUCCAUGUCAACACAUUGUCCCCUAUGCAUCUUAUUGUCAAAGUGCCACCGAGACACAAAGGCAUCCUUAGGGUCUCGACAGAUAUACACAACUCGACAACCACAGUUGACUAUGGACUUUGGGAACAAUGUAAGAGGCAUAUGAGUGGCGAGAAGCCUUGGUGAUGGGAGGUUCUCCAAAUAGGUAAGGUUCUCAUGGCUAGGGGCCUCUAUGGAUGGUACCACCUCUUGAGGAUGAGAAAAAAGAAGAGGGUGGUUGCCAAACUCAUACCGGAAGCGGUUGAUGACUGUAAAGGCGAGGGCUUUCAGCCAUGUGGUGCCGCACUUGGGGUUUGUAGCAAGGAUGACAUCUUCGGGGCGAGGUUUGAAGCCAUUUUCGAUGCGCAGUCUGCUCUGUACAAAGUACGGGCGGAACCAGUAGUUCUUGUAGAGCACCAAUGGCUCUGACCACCCCUCUCUUGUUGGGAGUUUGGAUAUGAGACGCAUAGCAUGGCUUUCGAAUGAAAUGGCUUCGGACGAGCUAUCUGUGGCAUUUCCACCCUGAGCUUGUGACAUAGCUCAACAACACUCGUGGAGUUUUUCCAGUCUCCCCUCGAUGGGAGGUUUGGAUGGGCAUGCAUGCAAGAGACCGGUGCAGAUGGCGCGAAUUGAGCUGCGUUGCUUUUGCUCGCGCGGAGUAUAAAUAGCCCAGGCAUCAUGUCUCGCCAUUUAUCUAAUUAAGGUAAGCACCAGAUGCAUGCAUGACUGUAGUGCAUGAGCUGGUGAAACCAUGGAAUUAAUGCAUGAUGAAUAGUAUAGUAAUUCACAUGUCAGAGGAAAUUUACAAGUAUAAAAUAUCCAGCUCGUUCUUAAAUCUAUGAUUGAGUGUCUCGAUCUAUCCGAUUAGCUGUUUUGAUAAUUAAGUCGGAUAUAUGUCUUAUCGCUAAUACUAUCCAAUAGAUAUCUGAAUAUUAUAUAACAACAAGGUCAACCAAACAAUAAAUUCCUGUACGUAUUUGAGAGCUAGUUCAUGGGGACAAAUCUGAUUUGAAUAUUAUACAUCAUAUCAAAUCAGUUGAAUGUGACAUUUAUCACUAAAAUUUCUUUUAGACGUGGUAUUAUUUAUUACUAUAUAUUGGAUUUAUCAACCCAAAUCAAAAUAAUUGGCAUUUAUUAGAGAAUCAAAUUUGCUACUUCUGUUUUCCACGCAACAUUUUACCUAACAAUAAUUCAACGAAAAAACUUGUGAUUCUUGUUCCUAGAUUUAUUUCAGGAUUUAACGGCGCUAUGCUUUUAGUUCCUCCAUUGAAAGCGAGGCGCCAGUGUUGACUUCGUGAUUCUCGAGACCUGUCGGCUCAGUCAUUCGGAGGUGCUCAUAGGGGUAGAGUUUGUGUACGUACGUUCAUAAAGGUAAGUGUGCGUGCGUGUUAUGGGCGUCUGCGUUGUACUGUGUAAUUCUCAAAAUAAAAAGUAUGACUUUGAUGGAUUACUAUACCUCAUAUUUACAUGAUAUAUACGUAAAUCUCGAGCACACAAUUAAAUUGAUCUUUGGCACUCUGAGUAUUUAUCCUAGUGUCUUGUUUGACUGUAGUCGAACUACUUCAAUCCACAUGUAUUGGGGGUGGAUUGAAGUGCAGGACAAGAAUUGGAGAUUGGGACGUUGUCCAAGUGUGUCGAGCCAGUUUCUCUAAUUUUGGAGAGAUCAAAUCAAGCCGCAUUUACUGUGAACAAUCCCUAUGCGGGGAUGACACCAACCUAAAUAGCCCACUAAGCCCAGGCAUGGCUUUCGAAUGAAAUGGCUUCUAUCCGUGGCACUUCCACCCUGAGCUUUUGUGACAUACUAGCUCAACAACACUCUGGAGUUUUUCCAGUCUCCCUCGAUAGGAGGUUUUGAUGGGCAUGCAUGCAAGAGGCCGGUGCAGAUGGUGCGAAUUGAGGCGUAUCUACACUAGGGAUGAAAACGGUACGGAUAUUUUCCGACCGUAUUCGAGACCGAAUUCGUUUAGAGGGAUUUAAAUCUGUCCGUAUCCGAGUCCGAAUACUCAACAUCCGAUACCGUAUCCGAAUAUUUAAAUUAUAUAUUUAUGAUGUCGACAUUCAAUUCUAUCUUAUCCGAUAUGAUUGACAUUAUGCGUAUUCGAAUCCGAAUCUGACCAGAAAUAUGAAAACAAAUCUGAUAUCGGUGAUAUCCGUUCGUAUUCGAUCCGUUUUCAUCCCUAAUCUAAACGUACGUGAGCGAGAGGCCAAUAACGCCAACUGCAACUGCAAGGCCAACACAGUACACGACGCACCUCGCCGCUGUCGGUGUGCAGUUGGUGGUUGUUUGGUUGGCGUUGGUCGACGAGAAGCUGCCACGCAGGAGCAUUAUAUUGCUCGCUCUCGAUCUCGGGUGUCUGACGUACGUCUCCUCGCUUCAAAUUGGCAAAUUGCUUAUGUACUUGCUCAUGAGUUUGACAGAAUUUGCUUGCAUCUUUACCUCUUCACCGGAGAUUUCAGUUUUCUCAGUCUCCCAAGCGCCUCCAUCUCCGGAUGUUUCCAACUACAUGCGUGGUGCUUUUUUUUUUGUGUGUGCAGCUAGCUUGACUUUUGCUCUUUGCUGAUAUUAGAAUCAGUUUGGCCGACUUCUAAAGUUGGCUUAGUCGAUUUGUUUUGUAACAAUAGCACUAAUAGUUGAUUUUUUUUGUCCACAGGAGUUUGGGCUUAUCCUCUAAGCUCCAAAAAAUUGAUAGUGAUCUUAAGGCUCUCCCACCUCACGAUUUGGUUCGCCAAUUAUCAUAUUUUAUUUUAAUAGUGGAAUAAGCUUAUUUCAACCAAAUCAAAAACAUCAGAUUAUUUAUUUCCAGAAUUAGUUUUAGCCAAGGACAUCUCCAUCAAGCGUAGCUUGUUUGUCCAAUUUUGCCUCUACUGAUUUUCUAAAUCGAUAAACAGAUUCGUGCAAGUUGGUUUAGGAGGCGUCACAUGAAAGACUCAUGCAAUGAGACCAUGCUCAGUGACUUUGGAGAGCCAGGCAUCACCGUAAUAUAAGGCAAACAAACAAGCACAUGCAUGGUUGCUGCUGUCCUGUCAUCGAUUCGAGAGGUAUGGACUGAAUUUGGUGUGUAUGCGCAGGAGCAGGACGUAUAAUGCCACCCUCUCUUAAAUUGGACCUAUCGGUUUCAAUAAGCACUGAAGAGGCCAAUCUGAAUUGAUUAGCAAAUACAUGUUUUGAUCAUAAUGAUACUGAAUUGGCCUUCCACAUUGGGGUCGACUAACGGCGGAUGCCGAUCCACUAGUACGUGGAUCAUGAGUUAAUUAACAAUAGGAGCACCAAAAUUCUUUCCUCUAAUUCAUCAAAUUUGAAAGAGGGGAAUCCUCAGCACGUACCAAAUUUAAUUUAAGGACAAGCUUCACACCUACCCACCAGUACUCUCUCCAUACCUGUAUUACAUGUCGUUCUAGGUGACCCUUCUGACGUGUUGAGCGUGUAAACACCUGCACAUGGACGCGUUUGCCCCAGACCAACUUUUUGUUGGCGUAUGCACCUUUUUGUUGGCGUAUGCACAGGGCUAGCUCCGCUCGACAUGCAAUUAAUCUCGGCCGCCCGGCGUGCUGGCGUCGAGGCACACUAAUUGCUUGCAACACUCGCCUCCAACAAAACCAAGCCCCACUCAAAAAAAAAAUAAGUGGCUACCAACAAGCUUCACACCUACCGAGUACUCCCUCCAUAUCUGUAUUACAUGUUGUUCUAGAUGACCCUUCUGAUUUCAUAAAGGUUGACGUUGAGCGUGUAAACACCUGCACAUGGACGCGUUUGCCCCUGACCAACUUUUUGUUGGCGCAUGCACAGGGCUAGCUCCGCUCGACAUGCAAUUAAUCUCGGCCGCCCGGCGUGCUGGCGUCGAGGCACACAAUUGCUUGCAACACUCGCCUCCAGCAAAACCAAGCCCCACUCAAAAAAAAAAAAUGGCUACUAGGAAUCGAACACAGCUUGCUAGAGUCACACCUCGAUACACUAACCAUCUGAGUUAAGAAAAUUUCUUGUAUAAAGUGCACCCGCAUCUCUAUUUAAUAAGGGCAAGGAUGGAAAGAUACCCCUAAUUAAUCACUUCUUGGUAAGCAUAAUCCUGUCCUAAACGUCAACUAAUAUAGGUACGGAGUGAGUAUAAUUUAAGGACAAGCUUCACACCUACCAAGUAUAAUUUGAGGAUAAGCUCCACAAUCUACCAAAUUUAUUUUUUUACCAGAUAUAACCAGCAGACAUUUCGCCAUUUCCAUAUAUCUGCUUUGAAACUUGAUAGAGUGAUAAAGCGCAUUUACAUUUCCAAAAUGAAAUGGACUCGUUUAUUCAUGCAAAAUGGAAAAAAACGAUGUCAAAUCAUACAAGACAAAAUGGGAAAAAAUGAGAUACACGUUAAAACACAAGGCCAGAUCCCUUGAGUUUCUCUUCUAUAACGGAAUCUAUCUUUCUCCCCAUCUCUUCACUAAUGUGAUUCACCCAAUCCCCCACGAUUCCUUUUCUAAAGAACACCGACUUGUCAAUGACCAUGUUGCCAUGCCGAGCGAUGUCUCCUGCUGCCUGAUUGGCAUGCAAGCCGCUGAGCUUCUCGAAGCUGCAUAAUCUCACAACCUCCUCAGGCACCCCAUCUUCUUGUUCCUUAAUACUGAAUGGGACGCCAAGGAACGAUGCGAUCCUUUUGACAUACUUCACUGGUUCUGAUGUCAUAUCCUCAUACUUGAGAAAAAGAACCUUGUCAGGACUUGCGAUGCUCUCCCUCCAGUACUCGAGGCAGUGCUCCCAAAAAGGACCAUAGGGUGAGAAACCUUCACAGAACAUGUCAAGAGCAUCUUCCACAUUGAUGCUAUAUUCUCUACUAAUCUUAUUCUCAAAAUGCCAUCGAGACACAAAGGCAUCCUUUGGCCCUCGGCAGAUGUACACAAUCCGACAACCACAAGUAGUUAUGGAGUUUGGGAGCAAUGAAAAGGGCAUAUGGGUGGCGAGAACUCUUGGGGAAGAGAGCGUGUCCACAUAAGUCAGCUCCACGCCAAGAGGGAUCUCGAUAAAUGGAAUCACCUCCUGGGGAUGACGAAAGAGAAGAGGGUGAUUUCCAAACUCAUACCUGGAGCGAUUGGUUAUUGUGAAGGCGAGCGCCUUCAACCAUGUGGUGCCACACUUAGGGUUGGAUGCAAUGAUGAUAUCGUCUUGGCGAGCUUUAAAACUGUUCUGGAGGUGCAUGAUGUUAAUAGCCAUUGGCGGACGGAUCCAGAAGUUCUUGUAGAGCACCAGUGGCUGUGUCCAACCCUCUCUUGUUGGAAGUUUGGAGAGAAGAUGGGUACUGUGGCUUUGAGAUGAAAUGGCUUCGGACGAGCUAUCUGUGGCGCUUCCCUCCUUGGCUUGUUCCAUGGUUCUACUGCUAUUCAUGGAGUUGAUGUUGUACUCUCUACAGCAGGGAUGGAGUGGGUGGGUUGCGGCCUGCGCAGCAUAAUAAAUAGAGAGAAAACACUAGCUUGCAUGUAAGGGGAGCCAAUGCUUUAUCUGUUGUUCCAAAAAGAAAAGGUUAAGCAGCCGCUACUUUUGUAUGACUAAUAAUAACACAUAUCCGUGCGCUAGAAUGAAAUUAGGACAUUUAGCUUAUUGCAUGAUUAUCCAGACAUAUUUAUUUAGUAAUUAUAGCCAGAAAAAUGGUUGAUGCUAAUUCUGAUAUAUACUGAUUUGUUAUAAGAGAAAAAUAAUAUUAUUUUGCUGAAACGGUAUUGCUGAUAAGUUCAAGCAAACUGGGUGUUGUGAUACGACUAGGUACUCUCUCUAUCCCAAAAUAGAUGUUAUUAUCACUUUCUGGAAAGUCGACUUUUUUAAAACUUUGACAAGUUAUAUAUUAAAGAAUAUUUAUAUUUAUAAACAUAAUUAGUAUCAUUGAUAGAUCAUUGAAUAUACUUUCAUAAUAAAUUUAUUUAGAGAUAUAAAUAUUGUAAAUAUUUUUUACAAAUCUAGUUAAAGUUAGUAUCCUAUAUGCUCAUCUAUUUAGGACUGAGGGUAUGCCACGGUGUAUAUGCUGCUCUGCUAACUUGUAGGUACUAGAGGUUUAGAGAUUUAUCUGUAAUCAUAUCAGUACAUUCUAAUUUGUUUUGAGAUCGGACUCAACACCAUACCUUUAUCUUGUACCAGGACGAGACAGAAUGACAAACUCUGAAAAUGCUUUGUAUUUCAUUUAUUUUAUUUUGAAAUCGAACUUCUUAUCGUACUUGGACAUGCUACUCUAUUUUGCAUAUAGACACAGGAGCGAGAUUGAAUCCAUCGGAUCCCUAUGGAACGGGUGACCGAUGAACGAGGAAGAACGUUUUCUAUCUUUGGAUUAGCUCGUGCUUUUUUUUAACAGAAAUCAUAACCGCGUGAUUAGCGAGGGUAUUUUUUCUAAUAUAAAGACGACUGUUGCGUCCCACAUAUCUUCGUCAUGGCAGAUUAAAAAUAUCGAUCACAGGUAUAGGAUGAACUGAUGAAUGCAUGUGGUUGGUGAAACGUCGCCUCUCGUUGCUCUCCUGUCGCAAUUAAUUUCUCUUGUUCAGGUCUUGUUUAGUUACACCAAAAAUUUUAAAACUUUUUCAAAUUUUCCAUCACAUCGAAACUCACAACACAUAGAGUAUUAGUUAUAUAUAUAAAAUAACUAAUUAUAUAAUUACCUAUAAUUUGCGAGACCAAUCUUUUAAAUCUAUAUUAGCCCAUAAGUAAGUAAUAAUUACCAAUAUAAACAAAAAUUUUAUAAUACCUAAAACUUUUUCACCUAGAGAACUAAACAAGACCUUACUUAUAUAAAUAGGUCAUGAGCAGAUAUAUCUUCCUAGCGACGAGUGUCGGUGUUACGUCUUGGGGCCUGCCUACGUCACAAGUGGGCUAAUUAAUUAUAGACGACAGGAUAGGAAAUAGUUUUAUAUAAUCACUUCGACCGUACUUAUCAUGAAAUAGUAUUUUUCUCUCAUAACAUUUUAACAUAAAUAUUAGUAUAAAUCAAAUUUUAACGAAACAAACAUGACAAGAACUUACAGAUAUGCAAUGUUCACCAUCUUUGUUCCCAAAGGCACAAAAAUGACUCCUACAUUCAGCUAAGCCAUAUUUUAAAUGGAGACCGGCAUAUAUUUUGCCUGUCACCAUUAUUCCAUGUCGAUUAAUGAAGGCGGAUAUUUUUAUUUAUAGAGAUGAAGACUUUUGCCCGUCUCUAGAAACUGAUCUAUGGAGGCGGUUAUUUUAUAGACUGGCUCUAAAAAUAAUCUAUUUUCAGGCGGGCAUCUUUAGCCAACCGCCUCCGAAAAUAAUUGGCCAAUCGCCUGGGCCAACCGCCUCCAAAAAGUAAUGGAGACAAGACACAUUAUAACGCCUGCCUUCAAAAAGGCCAAGCCCCAACAGACCCAGGCGAGCCUAAUAAUCAUCUUUGACCGUAAUUUGAAGGAGACUUAGGCUUUCUCCUCACUCCUCUCUUACUCAGACUUAGCCCCUCGAUCUCCUUUCCCCCUCAAGAAUCGCCGUCUCCUCCGAGCGGCCAAGCGACCCUCCCUCUGCCUCCUUGUGACCUCCCUCCCCUCCGUUUGAGAUUGAGCCCCAACGCCACCCCUUCUCCCUCACUCGCCCCUCUUUUUCACUGUCCCUCUUGGUGGCGCAAGGGCAGCUCCUAUUGGCGGUGGCAGCAUGUUGGGCACACAACGACCAUGGCAUGAAGGGCUUGGAGCUCUCUCAGUAAGGAACAAAAACCCUGGAGCAUUCACCGGACGCAUCCGACGCUGGGGCAUUAGAUGCACCCAACGUCAGAUGCUCACUCUCCCUUGAGCUCACCACUUUGCCCAAGAGUAUCGGACGCUCCGAUGAUGAAGUGUCGGAUGCUCCGAUGCGCAGGUCUAUUUGUGCCUACCGGUGUUGCACUCGUCGGGCGUGGGCUUAGCGUUUGACGCUAUCUGACCUAGUGUUCGAUGAGUGUUUCUCAGCAAGAAACGCUCACACGACUUCACCAAAACUUUCCUCUGGCACAAUUGAAAAUAAGCAAUUCAUUUUCACAAAAGCGUUGAAUCACGCCAUGUUUGAGAGAGACCCAACUCCUCUCCACCUCUUCAACCCUUGCUCAAAAGUGUUAACCACCAAGUGUAAAACCUUAUGCACGUGUGUUAGCAUAUUUUCAAAAAUAUUUUUAAGGGUUAAGUCAACACACUAGGUUCUAAAUGCAUGCACAUGACUAAUAACAUGUAGUGGCACUCGAUAGACCGCUUAGACAAGAAAUUCUCCUCUUUAUAGUAUGGCUAUCUAUCUUAAGUGUGAUCACACCCUCUAUAGUGUCUUGAUCACUAAAACCAAAACCCUAAGCAAUACCUUUGCCUUGAUCUCCAUAGGGUUUUGUUUUUCUCUUUCUUCUUUUCCAAGUUGAGCAGUUGAUCACCUUGUGGUCAUCACCACCAUCAUCAUGACCAUCUCUUACUCAACCACUUGACAUGUACCAACCUUAUCUAAUCUACACAUACUUAGCAUAGAGGUUAGUAUUUUGGGUUUAUCAAUUAACCAAAACCAAACUUAGGCUUUCAACAGCCUAGUAGGGCACGACACGGUAUGGCCCGCGACCCUGCGUGCCACCGGGGCGUGCCUCCACAAUACACCAUGCUAAGGUGACGGCCUAGGCACGACAUGUGGGCUGUUUUUUGUGCCGUGCCAACCCGUGGAGCACGGGACCCAAAACUAUAUCAGGCCAUCCAGUAGCCUGCUAUAUAAGAAAUCCUAGCUUCAAUACAAUUUUCAAAUUUAUACAAGUCACAACUCAUCAGUCAUCACAAGAUAUACAUGUAACACUUACAUCAUAGAUCACAAGUAAACUAACUUCAAUACUUCAUAGAUCACCAGAAGGGUCACAAAACACAGAAAGAUGAAAGCCUAGAUGAUUAAAACUUGAGUUGUUCGUUGUAACACCUCUCGUGUUAAGCAACACUAAAACAUGCUCAUGACAUCAUUAUGCAUAAGUAUGUCAUUUAGCUAACUAUGUGGUGCAUUGAUUAAAACAAGUUUACUUUGAGAAUGUUUGAGCUUAGGGUAGAGUGUAAUUCAAAUCCUAAAACCCUAAUUUGUAAUGUAACCUCAAAUACUUUGUUAUGCCCUAUGUAAGUUGAGGGGUAAAGUGGUACUUUACCCUAGUGUCAAGUGUAGGGGAUAACUUCGAGUCUAACCCCUAAAAAAUUGCCCCACUUGUCAACUUGGUUGGACUCCAAAACUUGUUGCAAGUUUUCCGAUGCAAACCCACGUUCAGGAUUGAGGGAAAUAUCAAGACGACUUAUAAAUGAAAUAUUGUGCACCCAAAUGUGACUUUGAAUAAAAACCCUUGGGUGGAGCUCAAUGGAGCAUUUGAGUUGUUGGUGUGAUCACUAAUUAAACAGUAAUUAUGUUGGAAUUUAAUUUGUGAGAGGUUUAAUUAGGAAAAACACUGAUUUUUCUGCCUCUACUUUUACCACAUUUUGUGUGAUUCAAAAUGUAAGCAAAAUUUGGGGUUGAACAUAAAUCAAAGUUGUAGAUCUGGUUGAGAUGUACAACUUUGGUGUUUCGCGUUUUCAAAGUUCCAAUGCAAAAUCCAAAGUAAUUUUGAAAAUACAUAUUUCCAUAAAUUGUCCCCCUUUGAUUUCAAACUUGUAUUUAAAAAUUUGUUUGGAAUUUUGAAAUGUAGCCGAAAGGAAACUUGUAGGGCUUUUCAAAAACAACAAGUUUUUUUUGGAUUUUUUUCAAGUUGUUGAGUAAAUUUUAAAGUAAUUUUGGAAAUUUAUAAAAGCCGCAAUUCAAUUUGAAGUUUUCUCCCUUGCUGUUUUGCUAAAAUUCAAACUCUUAUGUUCAAAAUCAGAGUUGGAGCCUUAAAGUAAUGUUGUACAUAUUUUUAUUCUGCACAACUCUUAUUUUAGCCAUUUCAUUAGUUCUUCUCAAGAUCUAUGAGUAAUUUUUUUUAAAAAAGGAGAGAAAUGGAUAGGCUCGGCUAUAGUAUUCCCACCUAUGGGAACAGAGCACGGCGGCUCCCGGACAGCGCCGCCGCCUUUCGCCUAUGCCAUACACACACCACGUAGCUCCUUCCUUGCUUGAUUGCUCUGCUCUAAACCGUGUCUGUCCUCAUCCACUAAGCACAAAAAUUGCCACAACACUGUUUCUCUUGCUCUCCCUUUUUGCUCACCGCCUCCACUGUUGUUCUCUUGCCACCACCGUGUAGCGCUGCUCCUACUUCAGUUCCAACCAAAACAAGAGCAUCACUGAUUCGCCUGCUCUGUGUGUUGCCCCAGAAUCUCAUGAGGUGCCCUUAGCCCCUCCUAGUCCCUUGGUUGGCCCUCUUCUUCCUCAAGGCCGGUAGAGCGCCGUCGACCGCCCCCCUUCGACGUGUGUCUUCCCAGUCUAGCAGGUGCUACUUCCUCUCAGUGAGCUCCUAGUUCUUUCUAUCCUGUUGGAUUCAUUGUUGUGCCGUGGUGAUGGGUUCACGGUGCGCGGCAGGGCUUUGCUCCACCGUGCCACCGACUACGUAGCCCCAAUCGCCCGGUAUCCCUUCGAGUUGGUUGAGAGCAUAUCUGGGUGUGGGAGGAUGAUGAGAUCGUGUUGGAAGGCUAAGCUUCACUAGGGAGUAGCUCAUCGGCGAUUAGCCGGAUGGCAUGCUCGCCUCCAGCCACCACAUUGCUGAAUGAAGAAGAAGACGUCGUGCCCCGCUUGUCAGGGACCUAGGGUGGAUGUGAAGCAGGUAGGAAGGGGUCGGGAUGGAGCUGGGCUAUGUGGGCUGAGGAACGGGCCAGCCGACGCUUAGUAGUUUUCCCCUUUUUCCAAAAUGAAUUAAAGGAACUUUUUUUAUAAUUUUGUAGAGAAAUAAAUACAAGUCCAAAAAUUAUGAAAAUUUUUGGACAUGCUCUUAGUACUGAGUAGAACAUAGAAAAAAUCAUUUCCCAAAGGAACCCACUUACCCCGACAACCAAGGCAAGCCCCAAAUACAUUAACUUUUCCACUUAAGAAUCUAAAAUGUUGCAUUAUGUAUUUAGGAGUUGAAUGUCAACCUACUUGUUGCAUCAAAAACCUUGUUUCCCAUUCGACUAGCCUUGUUACCUGUUUUAUUUCAAAUGUUUAGUGAUGCUUAGCCUUGCUUAGUGGGUAGGUUUUCAAAUAUAAAAGUUUGAAGGGUUGUUGUGGAAUAACUUUGAUGGUUAAAGAUGUUUCAACUUUAGACUGGUAGGUGGACUUGCCUUGGAAAGCAGUCCCAAAGUAGUGUUUCCGACUAUGUCGAUUAAGGAUCAUUCGUUGUUGGCCUGUUGUGAUUGAGACUUACUGGCCACAUGCCCUGGUAAGCUAUCUUGGCUAUUCUAUCAUGAGAACGUCUACUCGUGCACUAGGAGUGAUAUUAACGCUGACGCCAUAGCUUCCCGCGCACUCGCAUCAUGACCAAGGUGGUCAAUGUCAUUGACUAAAGUCGGGCAAAGAACCCAACAAUAAUGCCCACAAAGCUCCAACAACAAUGUCAAACUAAGUCCCCUCAACUUUGACGAAGCCCCCCCAGUCCUUCUCUUGUUCAUUAUUCAUAAUCUGUUCGAUCCCCACCAACAAUUUGACCUUUGUUGUGGCCGGUUUUUUCUAAUAUAUGACCCUGGCUAUCAUGUUGUUUAGUUUUUCUUGGAGCAGACAACAUUUUGCGAUGAACCUUUUCAUUUGUUUGCUUUGUCUCUACUCUAGGUAGGCGAUUCACCAAGGGUUUGUGAUUUUAGUUGAUUUUAGAUUUCCACAGCCGAUUUUUUGUGUUUUGAAUCGGUUGAUAUACAAUGUGUUGGUGAAUAUUUUGUUAUGGUGUUUUGCUGAAUUAUUUGAUCCCUAGUACGAGAUGUUCUUCGCUUGAUUUGGUUUAUGUAUGUGUCGAUUGAAUCCACAUUGUUUAAGCAUUGGGUGAUGGUUUUCUAGGUGAUAAUUUUGAUCCUCACAUCGAUAUGCUUAACCCCACAUAAUUGUUUAGUUAGUGUUUUGCUACUUCGAAUAUUUAGUAACAUCUUGACUAUCCAAUAGAAGUUCACUGCCUGGUUCUUAGUUUCCUUUUUCUGGCAUUUGCACAUGAAUUUUUGUCGAGUUUUCGUUUGUUAGAUUUAAGUUUUUUGAGGUGAUAUGGAGUCUGAAUUAUGUUGGAGCAUCUCUCAGCUGAUUACUACAAGAAGGUUUAUUGAAUUCUAAAAUGUUUUGUGUUGGAAAAAUAGUUCUUGAACAUGUUUAGUAGAGGAGAGUGGAAGAAGAUGGUUUGGGUUGGCCAACCAGAGUCAAAAGAGACAGCUCCCUUUGCUCUCAUGUUAUUAACAUUAUAUAGGCAAAAGAGAUUUACAAGCAACCUCUCGGUAUGUGUGGGUUUUACAUGCCACUCCAAUGGUGCUAGUUGGGCCUCUUUUAGGGAACUUGCCUCAUGAAUAUGGAAUAUCCCAACAUUCACUACUACCAAAAAAAAACUUUUGCGAGGCAUUUUAGAAUGGACCUCAAAGGCGGGCAAGAUUUCCAACCACCUCGGUUAAAGCCUCAGAUUAACCGAGGCAGUCAUUUUUUUAUUAACCAAGGCAAUUACAAAAAAUGUCUCCCAAAAUCUAUUAACUAAAGUGGGCACUGUAAUAUAACCACCUUGGUUAAUGCCUAUUAACCGAGAUGGGCAUUAUAAUACAACCACCUCGGUUAAUGUAACCGAGGAGGUCAUAAUACAAGGUCUGCCACAGUUAAACAGAAGCCGAGACAACCCAUCUAGAAAUGAGAUAAGCUCAACCAACCCGAUAUCACUAAAUGACUAUAUAUAUAGUGAGGAAGUUAGAAACCAUAGCUUGUUCCUCCCCCAUAGCCGCACCCUCUCUAUUUGUCUCCUAGAUGCGCUCGUCCUCUCCCUCUCCACUCGUGGCACCUCUCUCCCUCUCCACUUGCCCACGCCCUUUCUGUCUCCUAGAUCCCCGACGUGCCCCCUCCCCGAUCAUCCCGAUGGCACCCCUCUCUUCCCCUCUAGGCGGCAGCGUCCAUUCCUCUCCCUACCUUGGUGUCCCCUCCUCUCCCGGUGCCCUCUUCCCCUUCCUACACCCUCUUUCUAGUGGUGAGCACAGGGCGAACAUGUCCGCCAGCCUCGUUCGGGUGAUGCGCUGUGGUGGAGCAGCAGCAGUGGGCACCUUGGCGAUGGUGGCUCCUGGCAGCACGGAUCUCGAUUGAAUUUUUCAAGUUUUAUUUUAUGAUUUAGUUACACUGUGCUUUCUGUAUUCAGUGAUAAGCAACGUCCCCAUCGAUAGCGAGAUGCUUGUAAUGACUUUGUGAGUUUUCAAUGUAUUGUCGGCUUAGUCCUUCGAAGAUGCUCAUAAGGAUAGAAUUUGCAUAAGUGGAGGUGAGUGUGCAUGUGUGUUGUGGGCAUCUACGUUGUACUUUAUAAUUUAAAAAAAUGUGAGAUGGGCCAGCCAAAUGUGGUCUCUAUUAACCAUUUAAAGAGGCAGAGUAAAUUAAUUAACACAUGCGAAUAUCAUGUAGAUUGUUAUUAUCAAAGGUAGGUCUCUUGAGAGUGUAUCCUAUAAAGUUUGUGCUUCAAGAGACCUGCCACUAAAAAUAGUUAGACGAUCUAAACUGAUUUAUAUAUAACUUUUUCAUAAGAAGUGUGAUGUAUUCGAACUUUAUACCAAAAUCGAUCUAUAAACUCUGUGAUUUACAAUUUUUUUUUGCUUCAAACUAUUUAGGGUCUUAAAAAUUCAUCAAAUAAAACCUUGGAAGUUGACAUAGUUUAUACCGAAGUAAAAGUUUUGAAUGUGAUCUACAAAUUUGCAAGUUGGCUUGUUUUUUACUUGAAGUUGUUUAGAGCCUAAAAUGUUUAUUUUAAGUCAUCAAAUUUUGUUUUGCAGUGACCUCAAAUGUUCGCAUGGUUCAUAACAAAAGUCGUAGCUAAAUGCAAUCUAAAAAUUUGUUGUUUACACAGGUUUCAAUUUAAAAUUGUUUAGAGUUCUAAAUAUUGAUAUUUAUUUUUUUUAAAAAAAAAUAAAUGAUCUUAUAUGAAAACAAGCAUAUGUAAAAGUUAUAGUUUUGGAUGAGAUGUAAAAGUUAUGAUUAUGUUAAUUGGCAAGAAGGAGGAUUAUUUAAUAUUUUUAUGCUGCUGGUAAAAUUGAUAAUACAUACAUUUAUAUAUAAGAUAAGAUAAGAUAAGAUUAUAAGGACUCUGUCCGUCUCUCUCUCUCAAGUACGUAGUGAAGUCAGAACACCAGACCAGAUCCUUUGAAGUUGUCCUCCACGAGGCGAUCCAAUUCUUGUCCCAUCUCUUUGCUCAUGUGGUUGGUCCAGUCCCCGACCUUGCCUUUCCUAAACACGGAAGAGCGCUGGAAGAAAAGCUUGCCCCCUGCCACCUCAACACCAUCUGGCGAUGCUUUAUUAGCUUGAAAGCUGCGAAGCGAGUCGAAGCUGCAGAAGCUGACAACCUGCUGGGCAACUCCACGGUCGUCCUCCUCCUGAGUGAAGGGGACACCGAGGAAGGUCGCAAGCUUCCUGGCAACCUGGAGCGUGUCAGACGCCAUCUGUUCGUACCUGAGAAACAUCACCUCUCGUGGCCUCGCCGAGCUCUCAUUCCAGUACUCAAGGUAGUGCUCCCAGAAAGGGCCGAAAGGAGAGCAGCCCUCGCAGAACAUGGCGAAGGCAGCGUCGAGGCCGACGGGGGCCCCUGUGCCGAUCAUGUUCUCAAAGUGCCACCUCGAGACGAAGGCAUCCUUGGGCUCCCGGCAGAGGUACACCACCCUGCAGCCGAGGGUGGAGACGGCGGGCGGGAGCAGCGAGAGGGGAAGGUGGGUCGACAGCAGCCUCGGCGACGGCAGCGUCUCCAGGUGGUCGAGGUCGCCACCACCCGUGGAGCUGAAGCCGAUGAAGGGCACGGCCAUCUGUGGGGUGGUCGUGAGCAGAGGGUGCUGCUGAUGGUUGUUGUCGAGGCUGCAGCGGGAGCGGUUGAAGAUGGUGAAGGCGAGGGCCUUGAGCCAGUUGGUUCCGCUCUUGGGGUGCGUCGCCAGGAUGAUGUCGUCGCCGCGGGGCUUGAAGUUGUCUCUCACGGCCAUGAAUUUUCCUACCGUGUGUGAUCUCAGCCAGCACUGGUUGUAGAGGGUGAGAGGUGUCGCCCAUCCUUCCCUUGUGGGAAGUCUAGCUACAAGAUCAGCUUCACUGUUGCUACUUUCAUUAGUGGAGCUCUCUUUGAUUUCAGAGUGAACUUGCGCCAUGCGGAUAUAGGAUCUAGCUGCUAGCAGGUCUCGGUCACACGGUACUCGCGCUUCUUCUUUUGCCAAUGAAAUUUUGGUUGGGGUCUUCACUCAUACUAUCAUAUAUAUAGAUCGGGAUUAGCUGGUGGAUGAGUGGUUGGGUGGGUUCAUGGGUGUGGUUGGGGGUUGGGAUCGGCGGAGGAUGCACAAGGCGAGUCAAAGUAUGGAUGAGAUAAUCUCUAUAUAUCUCUUCUCUAUUACUAAAAAGCGUGGGAUGUCAUCGUUACUGUAAUAUUUCUUCACCCCUCAAGACACCAUUCAUGAUACUAUUCCUCUGUUCAAAAUUCAGACACAUAAGCUGAUCUUCAGAAAUGUUCAACAUUCAAUUCAGUCUUGCAAAUUUGUCAUCAGACCAAAAUUAGCCUGAGUUAAGCUCAGAGCUACGAAUGUUCACAAAGCUUUGAUAGAUUUAUGGCUAGACAACUUUGUGUAUUUUUUUUAUUUUCUUUAUAUCUUUCUUUGUUUCUUGAUCUACUGUACCUAGACUGGAGCCUUUUUAGUUCAGUUAUUAAUAAAGUUCAGUAGGGUGAAACCCCUUCCUGUUUCCUUUAAAAAAAAUAUUUCAAUACCCCGCUCGACUUAUUGCCCAUUUGCUCCCAGGGUUUCCACCUUUGUACACGAUUCUUCCCAUGAUCAUACAUUACGGUUUUGAUCCCUCAAGAACCUCCAGCUCUCGAGUAAUUAAAUUGAUCUCAUCACGUAUCUGAGGCCAAUCACUAGUGGUGCUCUGCCGCAGGCGUUGUGACCAGCAAACCACCCACUCCCACACCUUCGUUCCCGUAUCAAAGGGAGAAGCGGGAGGGUCGAGAUGAGGACAGGAUCUCAGCACCGUCCAGCAGACAUCAUGCUGGAGGCGACGGAGGAAACCACGCUGCUUCAGCAUCGCCCACUGAGCUGCUCGCCACGCAGGUCGGGGCGUCGGGCUGCUGCCAAGUGGAGGAUGCAUAACGUACAGCAUAAGGGGAGUCAAAGGGGCUGGGAUAAUCUCUAUCUCUUCUUCUAUCUAUCUACUACUAAAAAGCGUGAGAUGUUAUCGUUAUGACAUUAUCAUAAUAUUUGUUCACCCCGCUGGACUUAUUGCCCCUUUGCUCCGCUCAAUGGACCACUGAUGAGAGUCUAAUAUAGAGGUACUGGCAGCAUGGUUUUCAAACGAAAUGGCUUCAAAGGAGUCAUUUGUGGCACUUUGAUCCUCGACUUGUGCCAUAGCUCACUCCUGUGGAGUUGCGCAGUCUCUCUCGCAAGCUAGGAUGGAUUGGAUGGGCUGGAGAAAUAUGGUUGCAAUCCUGCCUCGCAGGGCACAAUGAAAUAUAAACCUCGUGGUUGGCGAGUGUACUGUGCGUGUUUUUCUAAGCGAAAAUGAUAUAUAUCAUGUUGCGUAUGUGUAGUUAUUUUAACGGGAUGUUUGGUUGCUAGGCAUAGUUUACUACAACUAACUUUAGGUAAGUGUAGCAAGCCACAAAAAGUGUGGCUAGCAAAUUGGUUGCCACACUUUGCCAUGUUUAAAGGAAUCUUGCCACACUUUUUAACUCUAUGACAUGUGGAGCCCAAAAGAAACAUGUCUAAACUUAGUUGUCAACCAAACACUUUCCAACUUAAUCAAAUUUGUCUAAGGUAAAGUGUGGCUAGCAACCAAACAGCCUCUAAUUAAUCUUCAAUAAACCAUAUUACCUAUGUGUUCAGUGGUCGUCCUUCCCCAGCCCCAUUGCCAGCGGAUCUCGCUGAUCCAUUGAGGAGGCUGCGGAUCCUGCAGCAUCUUCGUCGUCCCCUCCGAUAACGCCGCGGCCUCAACAUACAUAUACUUUAAUAUACUUAUCUUUUUAUUAAAGUAUAUGUCCAUACUUUAUUCACACAAAAGCAUAUACGUCUAUAAAUAAUUGAUCAUAUACUCCCAAAUACAAGUAUUCAAAUAUACUCAUUUUCUCAUUAAAGUAUAUGUCCAUACUUUAUUCACACAAAAGCAUAUACAUCUGUAAAAAAUUGAUCCGCUUUCUAUGUUAAUUUUUUCUGGCCAGGCGCUCCUCACAAACAGAUCUUGUAUAAACACAUGAGCAUCCAAAUUAAACCUGUUUGCUCCACUAACGGGCCGCACCCCCCAAUUCCCCGUUAACGUACGUCCGCGACUUCACCUCCCGUGCCUCUCUACAGAGGUGGGAGUAAUUACUAGCAGGAGUGUGUGUGUGUGUGUGUAUAUAUAUAUAUAUAUAUAUAUAUAUAUAUAUAUAUAUAUAUAUAUAUAUAUAUAUAUAUAUAUAUAUAUAACGCUCAAGAAUAUAAAGAAAUAGAGAAUAUGAUCAAAUUUUUACUAUAUUUACACCUAUAAGAUAAAAUCAUAUGCACUUACAAGAAAGUGCACCCUUCUUACGUGUGCUCUAGCUCCGCCACUCACUGAGCACAGACGCGCGGCGACGACUAGACUAGCUAGCUCGUGACCAAGCAGCUAGUAGCAGCAGAGCUAACACACCGUUGCAGUACGUACGUAGUGUGGUAGAUCAUAGACAGAGACCAUAUCCUAGCCCUUUUCUGUACACACGGAUGAUGAUAUAUCGGAGAGCACAGGAACGGGCGCCGCUCACUGCAUGCUGAAGUAACAUAUAAUAAGUGUACAGUACGUGGUUGGUUGUGUGGUCGUCUCGUCAAUCGGCGCUGGUGCGUGGUCGCGGAGAAGCCGCCACACGAGAGACGCUCAGCCCGGGUCGUGUGCUUUACACGCGGCUGGUUUUGUUGACGAGACCCCAGCAGCACUCGCCGCCCUUGGCUAGGGCCUUGUUUAGUUCCGAAAAGAUUUCGGAUUUCGGUACUGUUGUAUUUUCGUUUGUUUGUGAUAAAUAUUAUUCAAUUAUGGACUAACUAAGAUCAAAAGAUUUAUCUCGUGAUUUCCAGUUGAACUGUGUAAUUAGUUUUUGUUUUUGUCUAUAUUUAAUGGUUCAUGCAUGUGCCGCAAGAUUCGAUGUGACGGGAAAUUUUGAAAACUUUUUACUUUUUGGGGUGAACUAGAUACUUUUGUUGCUGGCGGCAUGCAUGCAUGCAUGGUGUCAGUCGUCGGUAGAGAACGUGGCAGGGAACUUGGCCAAGCGUCGAUCGUCUAUCUGGUGUAAUACAUGCAUGCGUCUACUCCAACCCAUAUUAAAGUUUGUAGUAGCCGCCCAACUGACUGCCAUCGAGCGCGCCACUGCUUGACGCGCGCCUUUCAAGUUUGUACACAAAGCAGGCAAAGUCACGAGCACAUGGCACCGCGCGCAUAUCAUAUUAUAUAUAUAAUGCAUGAAUGCAUGCCUACAGGCAGUUUGGCCAAGGUCUUGUUUAGUUCCCAAAAAAUUUUGUAAAAAUUUAUCGAAUCUUUAGACGUAUGUAUGAAAUAUUAAAUAUAUAUAAAAAUAAAAACUAAUUGCACAGUUUGGUCGAAAUUGACGAGACGAAUCUUUUGAGCCUAGUUAGUCUCUGAUUAGAUAAUUUUUGUCAAAUACAAACGAAAGUGCUACGGUGUCGAUUUUGCAAAAAAUUUUAGAACUAAACAAGGCGCAAGAGCACUCGUCCAGGAGAUGACAUAUAUCACAGUCACACAGCUCAGUCUUUUCCAGCAUCUAGGGAUAUUCUAGCCUAACUUCUAGGUACGUAGGUAGCCGGCGACACCAUUUUAACUUGCAUUCCGCUUAAUUUCACGCCAAUAUAUAUGGCAUCGAUCCUUGUUUGUUUGUUUAAAACUUUGUUAAAAAAACGAAAUUUUACGUGUACAAGAUGUGGGGACUGAGACCUGUCCACCGUAUGUAGCCACAAAGCUAAGCCUCCAGUCCUAGAUACCAGUACUAGUGCUGCUCUCCCUACACUCGCUCCCCCCUACGUGCUAGAGAGAUGUCUCGUGCUCCUACGCUCGCUGCCGCUGCCGCGGUGGCGGCCGUCGUCCUCAUCUGCUCCUCCUCAACGGCUACCGCGGCGGACGGCAACGCGAGGCAGCCGCCGCUGGCCCCGGGCCUGUCCUUCGACUUCUACAAGCGCAGCUGCCCUAAGGCGGAGUCCAUCGUGCGGAGCUUCGUGCAGGACGCCGUGCGCAGGGACGUCGGCCUCGCCGCCGGCCUCCUCCGCCUCCACUUCCACGACUGCUUCGUGCAGGGCUGCGACGCCUCCGUGCUCCUCGACGGCUCCGCCACCGGGCCGGGAGAGCAGCAGGCGCCGCCCAACCUCACGCUGCGCCCCACCGCGUUCAAGGCCAUCAACGACAUCCACGACCGCCUCCACAAGGAGUGCGGCGGCACCGUCGUCUCCUGCUCCGACGUCCUCGCGCUCGCCGCACGGGACUCCGUCGUCGUGGUACAUACCAUACGCAUGCAUGCACAAUUUUCUUCUUUUCGUUUCUUUUCUUUAACCUGUUGUUUGCUGCUCGCUCACACACCACCACAUGCAUGCCUCGAUCCAUUCCAUAUGCAGUCCGGCGGGCCGAGCUACAAGGUGCCCCUGGGUCGUCGCGACAGCGCGAGCUUUGCGACGCAGCAGGACGUCCUGAGCGGGCUCCCGCCGCCGACGGCCGCGGUGCCGGCGCUCCUCGCCGUGCUGUCCAAGAUCAACCUGGACGCGACGGACCUGGUGGCGCUGUCAGGCGGGCACACCAUCGGGCUGGGCCACUGCACGUCGUUCGAGGACCGCCUGUUCCCGCGCCCGGACCCGACGCUGAACGCCACCUUCGCCGGCCAGCUCCGGCGGACAUGCCCGGCGAAGGGCACCGACCGCCGGACGCCGCUGGACGUGCGCACGCCCAACGCGUUCGACAACAAGUACUACGUGAACCUGGUGAACCGUGAGGGGCUCUUCACCUCGGACCAGGACCUCUUCAGCAACGCCCGCACCAGGGCCCUCGUCGACAAGUUCGCGCGCAGCCAGAGGGACUUCUUCGACCAGUUCGCCUUCUCCGUGGUGAAGAUGGGGCAGAUCAAGGUGCUGACGGGCACGCAGGGGCAGAUCCGCACCAACUGCUCCGCACGCAACGCCGCCGGGACGACGAUGCUGCCGUGGUCCGUCUCCGUCGUCGAGGAGGCUGCAGAUGAGAGCCUCGGCGUGUUCUAGAACUAG